Homo sapiens (human) is the source of this 7911-nucleotide long non-coding RNA. Ensembl annotates it as endogenous Bornavirus like nucleoprotein 3, pseudogene. Its record names the gene EBLN3P. The record is from Ensembl. Lineage: Eukaryota; Metazoa; Chordata; Mammalia; Primates; Hominidae.
AUUUGUCCUCGCCCCUCCCCGUCCCUCUACGCGUUUUGGUCCCUGUUUGGUGCUUUCUGUUUGCAGCUACGGCAGUGAGUAUGUAUGUGACGGACCCCGAGUCACCCGCGGCCUGGGACCCCUGCCUACCCUCCGUCUCGCCAGCCGAGCUGUGGAACUAGCGCGUGCCCCCUCGCCGACCUCGGCGUCUCCGGUCCGCCCCUCACUUGUGGUGGGGCGCAGCUCCUGGUCCCUCAGCUGCGCGCCGCCCCACGCGGCCGGGCUGCGGGUCUAGGGGGUCCGCAUCUCCCUGGCUUUCCAAGGGCUAAGGUCGUGAUUCUAGGGCGGCUGGGCGUCCAGGGCCUCGGUGGGGGUGGCGUGUCUGCCCUUUUUAUCUCCCCGCAAGGCCCCCAGUCUUCUAGGGAAGCCAGUCAGUGAAGCGCGGAGGUCCGGGCGCGCCGAGAGAGAGUCCAGUCUUUGAGGACCGAGUAGUCCUGGGCCACCUCCCGCCUCUGCUGUCAGAAGCAGCAGCUGCCGCCGUGGAAUCCAAAAUUUCGGGAGCUGUGACCCUUUCCUCAUGUAAAACGAGUAGUCUUGGACGGUGAGCGGACAGUUGCCUUCAACUUUUGGGAAGAGCUGCCGGUUCGGUGGAAAAGCUGUGGCUGGGAAUCAGGAGGCCUGGGUUCUAGCCGUGGCUCCCCCACGGACUCGCUGGCGAUUCCAGAAAGCUCUUAUUGAGGCUGAAUUUAAGAUUAUAUCAGAUUACACAGUUGAAUUAGGGGCUCCAUUAGUAGGGCCCUUUUAGCUCAGUGAAUAAGUUUCUCCAACUAUAAAACGAGAGCGUUCAAUUUGAUGACUUUUCAGGUCCCCUCAGAAGCUCUUGACUUUGUGGUUUUCUUUUUCUUUUAAAAAAUUUUUUCUAGGACCGUUAGAGAAAUGACUUCGUGUUUGAAUAGUUAGGCUGUCGCAUACAAAGACUUUUAAAUGGAUUGUGUGUAUACUUAGGAAGGCAUUAUGCUUUCAAGAGAAUCUGAGGAUGGGGAAUAAAGUCAGGAAGGAUCGCAAGUGAGGAUUAUAUUAAUAUGAUAAUUAGCACGGUAAGAGACUGCAUGACCGAAGGAAAAGGGCUAAGGGAAAGGUGAAGGAAAUGUUUCCGGAUAGGAUUAGUUCUCAUAAAAAUCAUAUAUAUAUCCCAAGAAGAGCUGGGACUUAUGUGACUAAAUUUAGCUUAUUUUUUUUCCCCCACUGAAAUACUGUGCUCUGCCUCUGUUUUGUGACCUUUGUUUUACACAUUUGGUUUCUCCACUCCAAUCUCAGAUUUGAUUCAGAGUGGCCGUGGCAUUUGAAAAAUGGACAUUUUAACCCCUUAGUCAAUUGUGUUUCACCUGUCACUAUCAGGAUAGCUCAUUAAUAGUAAGAAAGAAAUUUUACGUUGAAAGUAAAGUGUGUUCAGCAUAUUGCAGUGAAAUUUGGACUGAAAAUGAGGCUGUGGAUUUGAUUUAAAUCGGCCCGAGAUAGAUUCCUAUGUCGUCAAGAAGGAACAUCUAGGGAGGCUAAAGGUGCUUUGGAAGUAAAUAAGAGCAAAAGGUCAGAAUGACCAGUAGGUAGGCUGUGAGACCAGAAAGAUUGAUUAAAGACCGGGCGCGGUGGCUGACGCCUGUAAAUCUCAGCACUUUGGGAGGCCGAGGCGGGCGGAUCACCUGAGGUCAGGAGUUCGAGACCAUCCUGACCAAAAUGGAGAAACCCCGUCUCUACUAAAUAUACAAAAAUUAGCCGGCGUGGUGGCGCAUGCCUGUACUCCCAGUUACUCGGGAGGCUGAAGCCGGAGAAUUGCUUGAACCCGGGAGGCAGAGGUUGCGGUGAGCCGAGAUCGCGCCAUUGCACUGCAGCCUGGGCAACAAGAGCGAAACUCCAUCUCAAAAAACAUAAAGUAAAUUCUGAAAGCUUAAAUAAGCCUUAAGUUGUCUAGUUUAAAACAAUUCAGUCAAUGAAUACUACUCCCUCUUUUGAAUGGGAAGAGCCUUUGCAGUUAUUCUAUAGCUGUUUUAUAUUUGUUAAGCUAUUUUGAUUCUUAGAUAAGUUUCAUUUCCAUUUCCAUGAUAUUUUAGGAUCUUAUAUAAGAAAUAUCUUUUCUGGUCACGGGAUUGAUAAAGUCUUUGAGUACUAACUUGGGAGAUUCUUGGAUGAUAAACUGACAAAUGUGUGUUUUUCUUCCAACGAAAAUGUCUCAUUCAUAGUUGUUAAACUCUGCUGGGAGGUAAAAUGGAUAUUUGUGAGGUAAACUUAGGUGUUAGAACCAAUGCAAAUACUUCAAUGAAGGAAGGUGUUUUUUUACUUUGAAAUUACUUAUUUGGAAAUUUUAUUUAAAAAUUUUAGUGGACAGUUGGCUGAGAAUCACAGAAACGUGAAUCACUUCUAGCUGUGUUCUUAACCAGCUGCAUAACCUUGGAUAGGCCUCCUAUCUCUUUGUACUUCAGUUUCCUGUGGGUAGAUUGAGUAGUCUGUAUGAGAUAAUCUGAUUUUGUUAUCUAGUUAGUAUACUUGGGAGUCAACGUACAGGGAUCAAAAAGCUGAGAAAGCCUUCUGAGUCAAGGGUUUGUUUGUGUGUAUGUAAAAAAACAUAUAUAUUGUCCUCUGAGAAUACUCUUUUUUAAAAAAGUUAUUAAAUUCAUUUGAAUGUAAUUAAAGCGGUAACAUAAACCACAACAGCCUCAGGCAGACUUUAACCCUGGCAUACAUAAGCUACCUAAAUAAGAGAGCAGGUUAUGCCCAGCACAAUUUUCAAGUACAGACGGUACAAAAUCCUCUUAAAGGCCAUAGGGGCUAAAUUGUUAAAUUCAUUUUUCUACAUUUUAGAGAAAGAGAUAAAUCCUUCGACCCAGGGAAGUCAGUUUUUAUUAUGGUUCUGUAGUUUAUUUUUGGCAUACAUUCACAGGUGUGCCUAUGGCUCUAUUCUUAAUCCCUUUCCUUUGGGAUGGCUGCAAGAGUAGUACAAAUUUGUAACUGUAAUUUAGCUCUUUAAUUUUUUUCUGUGCUGCACUGGAAUUAUGUUUUAUCUUAAGUCCACACUGGAUCCUCAGGAUGGAUCCAGUGAGGAUUUUGAAAGAAGCAUAAUUCCUUUGACUUCUUUUAGAAUUAAUUUACCUAUUAAAUAAAAAGGAAAGGAUUCAUCUUUUAUUUGAAUUCCUCUGAGGCUAACAAUUCAAUAUAAACUGAUGAAUGCUAUGAGCAUUAUUCAGACAAUCACAUUCAAUUUGUGUGACAAUAACAGCAUAGCCACCUGAAGGACAGUACAACAAGGGCACAGGUAUAUGAUACCUUUUAGAAGAAAAGCAUUAACAGGUGGGUUUAUUUAUUUCUGGAAAACAAAAAACUCCAGCAAGAAUGUAGUACAUUUUUGGCUCUUGUCCAUUUGGUUCUUGGGAUUAAGCUGGUUCUAUUACCAGAACUAGCAUCACAACACCCUGACAUUUUGGGCAGAAAUUUGAGUGGCUAAGAAAACAACUAUUUUUAACUUUAUGUGUAUAGCUACAAGUGGAAAAAAGAAUAAAUUGGCAUUGUUAUUGCUGUCUGGGCUGUCCUUGAUUUUUGGACACAAGCUUAUUUUUCCAGAGCUCUCAUUUUAGUCAGUAGUCCAUCAGUACCUAAUGGAAACAUCUACUGUGUAGAUAUGAGAAUUUCUAAGACUUUGGAGUAGUUGAAAGACAGCAGAGAAAUUUAUCCUAUCAUAAUUUCUGUAUUUUAAGCACAUACUAGAUUUAUCAGGGCUGAAGGACAAAUGGCCUGGUGUUAUAAUUCAUUUAUAAAUUCAACAGAUACUUAUAGAUGGCCCCCAAAAUACCAGUUACCCUGCUUGGCUUUGGUGAUUCAUUGUUUAGCAGAGUGUAUAUAGUUCCUGCCCCUCCUGUGGUUUGUGAUCUGUGCUUCUGGGAGAUUUACAUUGAAUAAAUAAUUAGAAAUGUGAUGAGUGUUUUGAAAUGUAAAGUGCUAUGAAAGCCUAUAAAAGGGGCAUUUAAUUUAAUCUGGUGGGAAGUGAUUUUGAGCCAAGUUUAAAAGAUGAAGGCUGAGAAGGAUUUAAUAUGCUCACAGUACUAAGUGUUUCACUUUAUGCAUUUAUUCCCAAAGUUGGGAGUUUUCUCUCAAUUUUAGGUCUUUAUUACGUUUGUAUUUUAUACACAGUUUUAUAACAAGCACAGGAAUAAACAGGUUUAUCAGGGUUUUUUUGGUUUUUUUUUGGAAUUGGGGUUUUGUUCUGUCACCCAGGCUGGAGUGUAGUGGCGUGAUCAUAGCUCACUGUCAACUUUGAACACUUGGGCUCAAGCUAUCCUCCCUCAGCCUCCCAAGGUGGGAGGUACAGAUCUGGGCAUAGGAACCAAUCAGAAACAAUCGCUUCAGCAAUCAAGACCAUUGUUCAUCAUGGAGGAACCCAUGGAUACCUCUGAGCCUCUAUCUGCAUUACCAUUCACUGGGCAGCAGUCUUUUGAGCCAAGUGGCAAAUUUGGACAGUAUCCAUCGAUGCAGAUGAACCACAUCCAGGCACUGGGGAAGUGGAGGACAUAGAACAGCUCAAUCAGUGUUUGAUCCAACACUUCCAUCUCAUUAAGACAAGUUUGAUUUUUCUUUGCUUUUUAUUUCAUGGAAUACAUGAGAAUCUCUUAACUGUUGGAGUUUCCAAGGAGGCAUACCUCAUGACUUCAGUUAAUGGAAAGAACAAAACUAAAAUGCUGUAUGGCCAAAGCCACAAAGGGAAGGAUCCACAAUUUACAUUCUUGGAGCUAUCAUCUGUACUGUACUGUUGUGAUCUACUGAUUGGCAUUGGCAUAGUAGUAGGGGUCAAGUGACAGAAUCCGUGCCAGCAGUCUCCAGGUUCAGAAGCAAUUCAAGACCCUGAUGAUAGCUCUCCAGCAACCAACACAUGGUGAUUGUGCCAACUUGUUGCUCAGUUAUAAUGCAGGGCCAGUGAUUGGUUUAAGUGAAGACCAUGGUUGAGAUCAUUUGUCUUUGGUCUAAUAGAAUUUGAGUCUAGUAGAAUUUGAGUCUCCAGGGAAAGAGCUACUUGACCAAAUUAAACUAGUAGCAGGUAGAGCAUGAAUGACAGCAUAUUAUACCAUCAAGAUGUUCUUAGAGCAGUGUAUGGAUGGAUCGAUUGUACUGCCAUCAGUUGUGACUGACGUUGUAUUCAAGGAGAAAGAGAAACUUGUUUAGAAAGCACUUUGAAAGUUUUUUGAGUACGGGGGUGCCCUGUAUCACCCCGUUAUGGUUGAACUUUCUCCUUCAAAAUUACCAGACUUGGCAGCAGUGGCAAAUUAUUGGGCUAAAAGACUUAAUCAGACAUAUUCUGGGUUCAAGGCUCCUAAUAUAAUACCUGGUGCAAACAUUAUACUUCCACUCAUUCAGAUGGUUGCAUCCUGCCAGGCAUCCAGUGGGACUGGGAAUAUGGACACUUGAACAUUAAACAUCCUGAAGAAUUUUGGAAUGACAGGUUACAAGUGAACAUAAUCAGUUCUCUAUAUUAAAAAAAAAAAAAGAUUUGGGCAUAGAUUGGGCUCACAUAAUCUUUAGAGAGAUUUUUUCAUUUUUGUGAAAGUACAGAAAUUCUUAACUGCUUAUGAAAUGCUGAUUGUUAAACAGCAUCCACAGCUAUUUUGUGUUGUUUCCCUGACCCCACCCUGAAGAAAAGAAAAAUUAUGGCAUAUUGAAAACAGCAGUAUGAUGUAAGAGAAAAGAUCACAAAUUCCUUGAGGGUGGGUCUUUUCCAUACUCAUAAGCCUAUUUAUAAUAUUCAGAGUAAUUUAUUGACACAUAUUAAUAUUCCCUCCUAUCCCAUUAAUUGCCAAAUCAUCAAACAUUUAUUGAGCACCUACUCUGUGUAGGGUGUAAGCAGUACUGGGGACUUACAGUGAUAAAAGACAUAGUUUUAGCCUUAAGUGAUGUACUGUUUCACUGAAGAGAUGGAAUAUAAGAAGCCAAGUAAUUUAUGGAAUUCUCUUCUUUGUUUUUCUUUUUUUUUUUUGGCAGUGGAGUCUUGCUCUUUAAAUAGAGCAAGGCUAGUCUGGAACUCCUGGGCUCAUGUGGUCCUCCCGCCUUAGCUUUCAGUGUAGCUGGGACUACAGGUGUGAACACAGCUUGGAAAUCUCUUAACCAUGGGAGUUAAGUCUCAAAAUUCUGGUGAUACAAGUGGUUGAAACUUAAAACUGUAUUUAAAAAAUAGGAUUCGUGAAUUUGAGAUAGUUCAUAAGUCUGCAAAAGGCUGUAUAAAUACAUAUUUUACAUUUACUAUUAUUAAUUUUGUAGUAAAUUUGAGUACAGCACUCUCUUUAUCUGUGGAAACUUCAGACUCUCCCCUAUUACUUUAAUUUCAGUGAGACAUUAUUAAAUAUAAGUGGGCUUACACAUUUGUUUUGCUUUACUGACAAAUAAUACACAACUUGGAGGCUUUUUUUUCCUUUCUAUUCUUCCUCUAAAUGUUCAACACUUUUCUGAUUUUGUGAUUUGAGGUUGUUUAAUAGCUUCCUGAGGCUCCAUUGAGACCGUAUAUACGUGACACUUAACAGUCUAGCCUUCCUCGGUACAUAUAGAUAUAUGAUGGUGGCUUUGCCUGUAGUAAAUUCAUGCCAAAACAUAGGCUUUCAGUGCCUAUUACAUAUGGCUUUCAGCUCUCUCUACUGAGGGAUGUAGGAGUUUAUUUCUGAGGUCUGAGCCUCUUUUCCUUUACUUCCUUUACUCUUUCCUAAGCCUUCUUUAUAAAAACUAUGCAUGUUCUAUUGUUUUCCUUUUUGAUUCCCUUUCUUUUAUUAUCCCCAGUAGGAGUGACUUGUAAUUCUCAUAUGUUAGAAAGGCAGAUCUCCUGGUUGAAGAAAAGAUCCACCCAAGCAAGUCAGCAUGUUUAAUAAUUUUUGAGGGGGAUCUCAAAUGUGGGAAGGAUUGUUAUAUAAGACAACCAAAUGAUGACAUGAGACAAUAAAUGCUAUAGGAAUUAUGGAGGAAUAAUUAGCUAUUUAUUUUCUUGGUUAGGGAAGAGAUAUUAUUAGUUGUAGAAGUAAUUACUAACUUCUACAUUUUUUAUUGUGGAAAUCAAAAAUAUAUAUAUGAAAAUAAAAUGUUAUAAUUGACUUCAGUGUCCCAUAAACCAGCUUCAACAAUUACCAAAUUGUGACCAAUCUUUACACACAUGCACAGGUGUCCCUCAGUAUCUGUGGGGCAUUGGUUCUAGGACCACUUAUGGAUACCAACAUCUAUGGAUGCUCAAGUCCCUGAUAUAAAAUGGUGGACUAUUUGCAUAUAACCUGUGUACAUCCCGUAUUAUUUAAAUCAUCCCUAGAUCACUUAUAAUACGUAAUACAAUGUAAAUGCCAUGUAAAUAACUGUUAUACUGUAUUAAGGAAUAACAACAAGAAAAAUGUACAUGUUCAGUACAGACGCAAUUUUUUUUGUGUGUGGAAUAUUUUCAUUCCAAGGUCAGUUGAACCCAUGGACAUAGGAGGCUGACUGUGUGUGUGUGUGUGUGUGUGUGUGUGUGUGUGUGCAUACAGACACACAUAUUUCUGAAAUGUAAAUAUUCUCUUCUUAAAAAAAUUAUUAUCACAGCUAAACAAAUUACCAGUAAUUCUUUUAUCCUCAUAUACCCGGUGUUCAGAUUUUCUAGAUUGGCUCCUAAUUUUUUUACAGAUUAUUUGAAUCUGAUUCAAUUCAUGUACUGUAAUGUUUGAUAACUUAAGUACCCUUUAUAGGUUCUCUUUUACCUCUUCUUUAUUAAAUUCCUUGUAAUUUGUUGUACUAAAUAGAUUGUCUUCUAGAAUUUCCUGUAGUCUGAAUUAUGUAGUAUUGUUUCACAUGUUCCAGUGUCCUCUUAUUUCCUGUGAGUUGGUAGUUAGAUCUAGAAGCUUGAUUAAAUUCAGAUUUUCUCUCUUUAGAUCAUCAACUUUAGAUCAU